AUGGCAGGGAUUGCAGAUGGACCUCUCUCCACAACUGAACAACAUUGUGGCAGGCCGGAGGAGGAGAGGCCCAGCUCUGCCCCUGCUGUGCUGAGGGGCAUGGGCAUUUAGUGGUGCACCUCAUAGGUGCGAGAUGGGAUGCUGGGAAUGCUGGUGCUUCGCUUGGACUGUGCGAGUUGUUCCCAAGUGGAUGGCUACCCGGGUGCCUGUGUCUACCAAGGCUUGUUGUUUGAGGUAGGUCAGCUUGAAGAUGAUGUGUUGGGGAAAGUGUUUGACCAAGAAGGUGCUCCUGAACUUUCAAGCUUGAACUUGAGAGCUAGGCUCCUAGUUUUGUCACCUCAGCCACCAGGGCAUGUAAACUUGGAGCAGGGGAUGUUGCUGCAAGCCUUCAGCCCACCAGGAAACAGCAGCAGCAUACUUCCAUUGCCUUCAGGGAGGUCAGCAAUUCUCCCUGGGCCUUUGACUCAACCACUGUCCUGCUUGGUACAACUGUGCCUGCUUCGAAGUGGGGUUCCUUUGUCCAGUGUCCAAAAAGGCAUGUGGAAUUUUAAGAUUCCUGGAAGCCAUGUGAAUCAUGAGUGUGCAGUCCUUGGCUGA
Molecule: long non-coding RNA, 597 nt
Filed under: Apteryx haastii (Great spotted kiwi)
Lineage: Eukaryota; Metazoa; Chordata; Aves; Apterygiformes; Apterygidae
Description: lncRNA (ENSAHAG00000008155.1)
Source: RNAcentral